CCAGACUCCUACGGGAGGCAGCAGUGGGGAAUAUUGCACAAUGGGGGAAACCCUGAUGCAGCGACGCCGCGUGAGUGAAGAAGUAAUUCGUUAUGUAAAGCUCUAUCAGCAGGGAAGAAAAUGACGGUACCUGAAGAAGAAGCCCCGGCUAACUACGUGCCAGCAGCCGCGGUAAUACGUAGGGGGCAAGCGUUAUCCGGAUUUACUGGGUGUAAAGGGGGCGCAGACGGCGAUGCAAGCCAGGAGUGAAAGCCCGGGGCCCAACCCCGGGACUGCUUUGGAAACUGUGUAACUGGAGUACAGGAGGGGCAGGCGGAAUUCCUGGUGUAUCGGUGAAAUGCGUAGAUAUCAGGAGGAACACCGGCGGCGAAGGCGGCCUGCUGGACUGAAACUGACGUUGAGGCUCGAAAGCGUGGGGAGCAAACAGGAUUAGAUACCCGUGUAAU
Molecule: ribosomal RNA, 446 nt
Filed under: uncultured bacterium
Lineage: Bacteria
Description: bacterial SSU rRNA
Rfam family: Bacterial small subunit ribosomal RNA
Source: RNAcentral